UUUUGUUGUUGUUUAUUUGUUUGUCAGAUUACAGGAGACUUCAUUCCCAUGAGAGAAAGAAAACUGUCAUUGAAGUCUUCAUUGGGCUGCUGUUAUUUCUGUUAAAGUUGUUGGAAUGUUGUCCUUCUAGCAGUGUGCAUGAUAACUGAUUUCAGAGGCUAACAUUCCGUGGCUCAGUGUCUAUUAAGGACUCCCCUGGAAGCUUCUUAAGAAAUGACUUAGAAUAAGAAACACAAAAAAUUUUUUUCAUCACUGUUUAAAGAAAAUGAAAAGAAAAAAAGAUGACAGCAUAGCCCUAGAACUUUUCCAGUGGUCUGAUUUCUAACCAGUGGUCAUCAAAGUUGCCAGGUCAGGGAUCAGGGGCUUGAACCUGGGUCUUUGCACAUGGUAGCAUGUGCACUCUACCAAACAUGCCACUGCCUGUCCACUUGAGGGAGAUUCUCAUCAUAUCCAUCUGUGCUCAACAAUGAACUAUUGGAUGAGUGUCUCAAACCAGGUGCUGUAGCCAUGACCCCUACAUUAGCAUUUUCUGCAAUCUCAGGCCUUCAUGUGCUGGCUUCCUGGAAGUCCUUGUUUUCGGAACCAAGCAUCUUUAUUCUCUGCAAGUUGAACAUGAGCUGCAAUAGCCAUUGGUCAUGCCAGAAUCACUGCUAAUAGCAUGAGCUUCAAACAAAAUUGAAUUUAUUCUGCUUGGUGACACUGCUGCCUUCCUGCAACCUGCAUGGUCAUAGAGGAACAGAAGUGACCCCCCCCAAAAGAAGAGAAAAGAAACAAAUUUCUUCAACUAUAGACCUUACCAAAUCCACCAACUACAGCUGAGACACCAGCAGCCUCAGCCACCAAGUUCCAGAUGUUAUCAUGAUGCCAUCCUGACUUCCCUGGGCAGAUGACCUCACCAAUAUGUCCUAGAACCUCCCCUCCCCAGGACCCUGCCCCACUAAGGAAAGAUAGAAACAGGUUGGAGGUAUGGAUCCACCUGCCAAUGCCCAUGUCCAGCAGAGAAGCAAUUACAGAAGCCAGAACUCCCACCUUCUGCACCCCAUAAAAAAUUUGGGUCCAUCCUCCCAGAGGGGGAGAAAUGUUAGUGGAAGAUGGGCUCUGAACUCCAACUCCUUCAGAGGAAAAAGGGAGGGACAUUUGGAUAUAGUUAUGGGGUUAUGUGUUCCUUAGAAAAGAAGAUAUGACAGGACCCUGGGGGGAAAAAGGGCAAAUUAUACAAAUAUAGACAGAUAGUUGUAGAAAUAAUAGUUAACCCAUAUCUGCAACCUUAGGAAAACUGUUGUAGCUUCUAAUGGAGGGAAUGGGGAUUCAGAACUCUGGUGGUGGGUAUGGUGUGGACUUAGACUCCUGUUGACAUGUAGUUUUGUAAAUCAAUAUUAAAUCACUAAUAAAAAACAA
Erinaceus europaeus (western European hedgehog) is the source of this 1398-nucleotide long non-coding RNA. RefSeq lists it as uncharacterized. The record is from RefSeq and is a predicted model, not a curated record. The transcript is spliced from 3 exons. NCBI's taxonomy places the organism in Eukaryota, Metazoa, Chordata, Mammalia, Eulipotyphla, Erinaceidae.